Molecule: RNA transcript, 1986 nt
Organism: Passer domesticus (house sparrow)
Lineage: Eukaryota; Metazoa; Chordata; Aves; Passeriformes; Passeridae
Gene: SHISAL2A
Gene name: shisa like 2A
Exons: 12
Source: RefSeq, a predicted model, not a curated record
CCUGAGGGCGCGGGCGCCUCCCGCCGCCGCCCGCCCUGUGGCGGCCCCUGCCCGCCCGGCUCCGCCCGCCACAGCCACCUCCCCUCACCUCGCUUCUCUUCGCCUCCCGCCCGGGUGCCACCGAGCCGAGGCGCCGGGCGGGCAGCGGGCGGGCGGGCGGCCGCGCCAUGAGCGCCGAGUGCAGCAGUUACCUCAACGCCGACAAGGUGCUGGUCAGCGGGUUCAGCUGCCCGCGGGCGGGCGGCGACGCCCGCGCCGUCUUCUGCUGCGGCUUCCAGGACGUCAAGUACUGCUGCGAUGACCCCCACAGCUUCUUCCCCUACGAGCACAGCUACAUGUGGUGGCUCAGUGUUGGAGCACUCGUGGGCCUGUCAAUAGCAGCAGUGGUCCUCUUUGCUUUUAUCAUCACUGUGUGUGUUCUCUGUUAUUUGUUUAUCAGCACCAAGCCACGCAGCAAACUUGAUACUGGUUUGAGCUUACAGACAGCAGACAGUGAGGCCAGAGGGAGUUCGAUAUGUUAAAGACAGAGGCACUGAAUGGAUUCUGCCAAUGUUAUGAAGAAAAGAGAUACAGAGCUGCAUCCUUAACAAAGACCCCACCAAAACAAACAGAGCCAAGUGACUUCAAGACACUUCCUGAGCCACAAGGAUGGACUGUGACUAUUCUUCAUCAAAACAUGUUGGAAUAUUUCUUGGGAAGCAAACUAAAAUUUUCCAGUAGUAUUUCAGUUUGGAGCACUAAUUUGUGAAAUGUUGAACUUCCUUCAGCGUAGAGCAGGUGGAAACCUUUUAGGUGUUGAUGCAGGGUCAAGAGAGUACUGAAGUGGCUCUGCAAUGGCCUUUAUAUGACUGUACUCCAAGACAGAAAAGCCUUGUGGAAACCAAGCCUCAGGUUGGAUCCAUGCCUGCCCAAAGUUGUGACCUACUCCAGGGAGAGUGAGAUGUUCUUCUUGUUCCUGAUGAAUGGCUACUUACUUCUGCAAACAAAUGUCCUCACCUUUGCCCUGAGGAUGAACGCUCUGAACCUGAGCAUUAGCUGCUGGUACAGCUGGUAAACACAACACCACUGUGGUAAAACUGUGGUUUCCUUCAAGCUUUGGUACACCAUGGUCAGUUCAGUAUCUAAAACUCUGGGGUUUGGCUGGAAAAUAUUAAACUAAUCCCUGGUAACUUUCAGAAUCUAAGAUCAUCUGGGUAUUUAUAAGGACUGCCACAGGUACUUUAUAGACCAUGGAUUGUGAGAAGCAGUGGUUGUGCUGAGACCUUUGUAGAGUUGUGGCUUCCAGCUCAUUGUGAGCUUGGCAGUGAGUCUCUGCUGGUGGUUUUGCUGCCUGUAUUAGGUACUAUUCAGCUGGCUGGGACUUCUCUUAUAAUCUUGGUACUGGUGUGAAAAUAGCAGCAUAUCACAUGGCGGAAAAUACGUGAUCUGAAUAUGCCAUGAUCUGGAUCUGGCUCCUUCAUUGAAUUAGGAUUGAGAUGAUUUCCUUUAGGAACAGGCGUAGCUGGAAAAAAGGAACAUCUGUUUAUCUCCAGAACUAAACAAGCAACAUGAAUGCAUUUUGAGAACACCAAGCAAGGUGUGAGCAGCCUGGAUUUGCAGCCCCUCAGCAGUGUGAGCAGCAGGCUCCUGAGCACAGGUCCUGCCUUGCCUCUGGAUGCCAUUUUCCCAGGUUGUGUGCAUGAUGCUGGAAUUGCACCCUGCCAAAUGACCUUGCCUUUGGCUCUCCAGAGGGCAACACUUUGACUGGAGCUUCAAAGAUAUAAAACUUUUCCAGAAUUUGGCUCAAAGCUCAAAGUCAUUGAUUGUUGUAAUGUAUCUGCCUGUGGGAUGACAGCAGUUCUUCUGGGUCAGUACUGAAAAAUGCAGGGGGAAAAUAGUCACUGAAAUCAAGUGGAGGUUACUUAUUUAUUCAAAUCAUGGAACAAAACCCUUUCUUGAAAUUGUUCCCCAAAGAUUAUAAUGGGGAAAAUAGCAUAUAUAUAUAUA